CAGUAGCCGCGGUAAAACGCAGGUGGCAAGCGUUGUCCGGAAUUAUUGGGCGUAAAGGGCUCGCAGGCGGUUUCUUAAGUCUGAUGUGAAAGCCCCCGGCUCAACCGGGGAGGGUCAUUGGAAACUGGGAAACUUGAGUGCAGAAGAGGAGAGUGGAAUUCCACGUGUAGCGGUGAAAUGCGUAGAGAUGUGGAGGAACACCAGUGGCGAAGGCGACUCUCUGGUCUGUAACUGACGCUGAGGAGUGAAAGCGUGGGGAGCGAACAGGAUUAGAUACCCCCGUAGUCCCUGUCUCUUAUAC
This 301-nucleotide ribosomal RNA is filed under the name uncultured bacterium. RNAcentral describes it as "partial 16S ribosomal RNA". It matches the Rfam family "Bacterial small subunit ribosomal RNA", at positions 509 to 807 of the family's 1533-position model. The record is from RNAcentral.